RNAcentral lists this ribosomal RNA (500 nucleotides) under uncultured bacterium. Its description in RNAcentral is "partial 16S ribosomal RNA". It matches the Rfam family "Bacterial small subunit ribosomal RNA", at positions 30 to 523 of the family's 1533-position model. The record is from RNAcentral.
AUUGAACGCUGGCGGCAUGCCUUACACAUGCAAGUCGAACGGCAGCACGGACUUCGGUCUGGUGGCGAGUGGCGAACGGGUGAGUAACGCAUCGGAACGUACCAUUGAGUGGGGGAUAACGUAGCGAAAGUUACGCUAAUACCGCAUAUUCUCUCCGGAGGAGAGCAGGGGAUCGUAAGACAUUGUGCUCUUUGAGCGGCCGGUGUAGGAUUAGCUAGUUGGUGGGGUAAAGGCCCACCAAGGCUACGAUCCGUAGCCGGUCUGAGAGGAUGAUCAGCCACACUGGGAAUGAGACACGGCCCAGACUCCUACGGGAGGCAGCAGUGGGGAAUUUUGGACAAUGGGCGCAAGCCUGAUCCAGCCAUUCCGCGUGCAGGAUGAAGGCCUUCGGGUUGUAAACUGCUUUUGUACAGAACGAAAAGGCUCUGGUUAAUACCCGGGGCUCAUGACGGUACUGUAAGAAUAAGCACCGGCUAACUACGUGCCAGCCGCCGCGGUAA